GAGCCAAUACGAUUCUUCCCUACUAACAGGAGUUUACGACCCUAAGGCCUUCGUCCCCCACGCGGCGUUGCUGCGUCAGGCUUUUCGCCCAUUGCGCAAUAUUCCU
This 106-nucleotide ribosomal RNA is filed under the name uncultured bacterium. RNAcentral's name for it is "partial 16S ribosomal RNA". The record is from RNAcentral.